GACGAACGCUGGCGGCGUGCCUAAUACAUGCAAGUAGAACGCUGAAGCGAGGAGCUUGCUCUUCUUGGAUGAGUUGCGAACGGGUGAGUAACGCGUAGGUAACCUGCCUUGUAGCGGGGGAUAACUAUUGGAAACGAUAGCUAAUACCGCAUAACAAUGGAUGACACAUGUCAUUUAUUUGAAAGGGGCAAUUGCUCCACUACAAGAUGGACCUGCGUUGUAUUAGCUAGUAGGUGAGGUAAUGGCUCACCUAGGCGACGAUACAUAGCCGACCUGAGAGGGUGAUCGGCCACACUGGGACGGAGACACGGCCCAGACUCCUACGGGAGGCAGCAGUAGGGAAUCUUCGGCAAUGGGGGCAACCCUGACCGAGCAACGCCGCGUGAGUGAAGAAGGUUUUCGGAUCGUAAAGCUCUGUUGUAAGUCAAGAACGGGUGUGAGAGUGGAAAGUUCAUACUGUGACGGUAGCUUACCAGAAAGGGACGGCUAACUACGUG
Molecule: ribosomal RNA, 497 nt
Filed under: uncultured bacterium
Lineage: Bacteria
Description: partial 16S ribosomal RNA
Rfam family: Bacterial small subunit ribosomal RNA
Source: RNAcentral